AUCACUUCUCGGCCUUUUGGCUAAGAUCAAGUGUAGUAUCUGUUCUUAUCAGUUUAAUAUAUGUUAACUCUUUCAACCACCAGGUUCCAGAUGACACCAU
RNAcentral lists this small nuclear RNA (100 nucleotides) under Erinaceus europaeus (western European hedgehog). RNAcentral's name for it is "U2 spliceosomal RNA". It matches the Rfam family "U2 spliceosomal RNA". From Rfam's summary of the family: U2 is a small nuclear RNA (snRNA) component of the spliceosome (involved in pre-mRNA splicing). Complementary binding between U2 snRNA (in an area lying towards the 5' end but 3' to hairpin I) and the branchpoint sequence (BPS) of the intron results the bulging out of an unpaired adenosine, on the BPS, which initiates a nucleophilic attack at the intronic 5' splice site, thus starting the first of two transesterification reactions that mediate splicing. Lineage: Eukaryota; Metazoa; Chordata; Mammalia; Eulipotyphla; Erinaceidae. The record is from Rfam by way of RNAcentral.